AAAGUUGGAUUAAUACCGCAUAUAGCUAUAUAGUUGCAUGAUUAUGUAGUGAAAGAUUUAUUGGUAUAGGAGGAGUCUGCGGCACAUUAGCUAGUAGGUGAGGUAAAGGCUUACCUAGGCGACGAUGUGUAGCCGGUCUGAGAGGAUGAACGGCCACAAUGGAACUGAGACACGGUCCAUACUCCUACGGGAGGCAGCAGUGGGGAAUAUUGCACAAUGGGGGAAACCCUGAUGCAGCAACGCCGCGUGAGUGAAGAAGGUUUUCGGAUUGUAAAGCUCUGUUAGCAGGGAAGAGGAAGGACGGUACCUGCAGAGGAAGCCACGGCUAACUACGUGCCAGCAGCCGCGGUAAUACGUAGGUGGCAAGCGUUGUUCGGAAUAACUGGGCGUAAAGGAUGCGUAGGCGGUUAAACAAGUUAUAUGUUAAAUAUAUAGGCUUAACCUGUAGAAAGCAUAUAAAACUGUUUAACUAGAGUGCAGGAGAGGUAAGUGGAAUUCCUAGUGUAGCGGUGAAAUGCGUAGAGAUUAGGAAGAACACCAGUGGCGAAGGCGA
RNAcentral lists this ribosomal RNA (553 nucleotides) under uncultured bacterium. Its description in RNAcentral is "bacterial SSU rRNA". It matches the Rfam family "Bacterial small subunit ribosomal RNA", at positions 154 to 724 of the family's 1533-position model. The record is from RNAcentral.